CCCGGACCGGAAACAGCCCGAACCCUGUUCUAUAAAUACUGUUAUAGAUAUUUAUUAUAUUUAUUAUAUAUUGUAUAUAUUAUAUAUAUUAUUAAACCUGCUGCUAAACGCUGCUGUGUGUUACUGUGGAGUUAAGGUGGAGUUAGUGUGGAGGUUAGUGUGUAGUUAAGGUGUAGUUAGUGUGUAGUUAAGGUGGAGUUAGGGUGUAGUCAGGGUGUAGUCAGGGUGUAGUCUGGGUCAGGUUAGGGUGUAGUUAGGGUGUAAUUAGGGUGUAGUCUGGG
This is a long non-coding RNA of Scomber japonicus (chub mackerel), 281 nucleotides long. RefSeq lists it as uncharacterized. The transcript is spliced from 3 exons. Lineage: Eukaryota; Metazoa; Chordata; Actinopteri; Scombriformes; Scombridae. The record is from RefSeq and is a predicted model, not a curated record.